GGAGAAAAGCAGGGGAUCGCAAGACCUUGCACUUUUGGAGCGGCCGAUGUCUGAUUAGCUAGUUGGUGGGGUAAAGGCCUACCAAGGCGACGAUCAGUAGUUGGUCUGAGAGGACGACCAGCCACACUGGGACUGAGACACGGCCCAGACUCCUACGGGAGGCAGCAGUGGGGAAUUUUGGACAAUGGGCGCAAGCCUGAUCCAGCAAUGCCGCGUGAGUGAAGAAGGCCUUCGGGUUGUAAAGCUCUUUCAGUCGAGAAGAAAAAGCUGCAGUGAAUAACUGUAGUUCAUGACGGUAUCGACAGAAGAAGCACCGGCUAACUACGUGCCAGCAGCCGCGGUAAUACGUAGGGUGCGAGCGUUAAUCGGAAUUACUGGGCGUAAAGGGUGCGCAGGCGGCUUUGUAAGUCAGAUGUGAANUCCCCGGGCUUAACCUGGGAAUUGCGUUUGAAACUACAAAGCUAG
Molecule: ribosomal RNA, 465 nt
Filed under: uncultured bacterium
Lineage: Bacteria
Description: bacterial SSU rRNA
Rfam family: Bacterial small subunit ribosomal RNA
Source: RNAcentral